AUUUUGAAGUAUGAUCGUAGGCGCCCGCAAGUGAAACUAUUGCUGAUCAUGAGGCCUUACCAAGAGAUAAUUACAUAUUUCUUCCUUCUCCCUCUUGAUGAUCAUGAGGCCAUGCUCAAAAUUAAAUGGUUGACGAUAUUAGGUGAUAUUUCUUGGAAUUUUAUGCAACUAAUUAUGAAAUUUUACAGUAAGGAGAAACAGGUGAUACUGAAUGGGAAACGUGGGG
Molecule: long non-coding RNA, 226 nt
Filed under: Musa acuminata (dwarf banana)
Lineage: Eukaryota; Viridiplantae; Streptophyta; Magnoliopsida; Zingiberales; Musaceae
Description: long non-coding RNA (MACU_LNC004069)
Source: RNAcentral